RNAcentral lists this ribosomal RNA (490 nucleotides) under uncultured bacterium. RNAcentral describes it as "partial 16S ribosomal RNA". It matches the Rfam family "Bacterial small subunit ribosomal RNA", at positions 28 to 506 of the family's 1533-position model. The record is from RNAcentral.
GAUGAACGCUGGCUACAGGCUUAACACAUGCAAGUCGAGGGGAAACGACGGGGAAGCUUGCUUCCCCGGGCGUCGACCGGCGCACGGGUGAGUAACGCGUAUCCAACCUGCCUCUGACUGAGGGAUAACCCGUCGAAAGUCGGCCUAAUACCUCAUGGCAUCGUCUGCGGGCAUCCAACGACGAUUAAAGAUUUCAUCGGUCAGGGAUGGGGAUGCGUCUGAUUAGCUUGUUGGCGGGGUAACGGCCCACCAAGGCUACGAUCAGGAGGGGUUCUGAGAGGAAGGUCCCCCACAUUGGAACUGAGACACGGUCCAAACUCCUACGGGAGGCAGCAGUGAGGAAUAGUGGUCAAUGGGCGGGAGCCUGAACCAGCCAAGUAGCGUGCAGGAUGACGGCCCUAUGGGUUGUAAACUGCUUUUAUGCGGGGAUAAAGUGAGGGACGUGUCCUUCAUUGCAGGUACCGCAUGAAUAAGGACCGGCUAAUUCCGU